Oppia nitens is the source of this 366-nucleotide long non-coding RNA. RefSeq lists it as uncharacterized. The transcript is spliced from 3 exons. The record is from RefSeq and is a predicted model, not a curated record. Lineage: Eukaryota; Metazoa; Arthropoda; Arachnida; Sarcoptiformes; Oppiidae.
AAUAAAUAAUUAUUAAAUAUAAUUAACAUUUUAUAUAACAAUGCGUUCAAUAGUUGUAUCGGUUUUGUUGAUGGCAUUUCAUUGCUUUGGUUUUGUCUGACAAUGAUUUGGAUUAUUCAAAGACAUUGAAAAAAGUCUAUGACUUUGAAGAGGGUCAUAUGAUUGCCAAUAGGACUGGUAUUAAAUCCAAUGACUGUUAUAUAUGUUCGUCUCCCUGUUCGGCCUACUAUUGUUGUAGUGGUUCAUACCCUCAGUGUUGUCUGGUUGGCGGCCAAUGUCGGUGUUGUAGUCGUUAAAUAAAAAGACAUAUUUGAUAAAAAAUUUAAUUAUACUAUAUAUAAUACUACUACUAUAUAUAAAAUAAAU